UGAAUCUGAUUGCGUUCCCCUGCCUCGGGCCAGUUGGCCUUACAGGUGCUGGACCAGAUGGUGAAGCUACAGGGAUGGAAAAACUUGCCCUUGCCUCAAGUGGCUAAGCUUGGAGAAUGGAACUGCCUAAAGCAGGGAGAGCCUGACAGCUAAUGAAGACAGCACAAAGGGAAGCAAGGCUAAGAAUGGAAAGAGACAGAUUCCUGACACAGUUUGAGCACCUGGAUCCAGCCAAGCCUGAAGCCAAUGUGUGACAAUCUCCCUUAAGAACCAAGGAAGGGAUUUGCACUGUUGCAGGCCCCUCAAAACCAUACUCUGAAAAAAUUUUAACCUAAACAUGCCAAUAAAGUCACAUUUUAUAAGUGAAGUUUUAUGCUGGAAAAAUAAACCCCAG
Aethalodelphis obliquidens (Pacific white-sided dolphin) is the source of this 394-nucleotide long non-coding RNA. RefSeq lists it as uncharacterized. NCBI's taxonomy places the organism in Eukaryota, Metazoa, Chordata, Mammalia, Artiodactyla, Delphinidae. The transcript has 3 exons. The record is from RefSeq and is a predicted model, not a curated record.